AUUAAAUUUAUAUUAUAUUGAAAAUUUAUUAUUUCAUACAGUUAAUUUGACAGCAUGAUCUUUAAAAUAAUGUGAAUUUAUAAUCAGUUAUUUUUAAAGUUAAUUUCAGUUCAAUUAAAUUAUUUUCUCAGCAUGUUACAUUUGUAUUAAAUAGUUCAGCAUAUUUAGAAUUUUUUUCUAAAAACCAUCAGAAAGUACCCAGGUGAUUUUACCCCAGUUUGCACUGAUGUGAAUGUGUUUCCACAGUGUAUGACUAGUUAUAGUGAUUUUACCCGCUCUGCACUAUUGUGAAUGUGUUUCCAUAGUGUAUGACCAGAUUAUCAGAGGUCUUUGGGACCCACUCUCGUACACAAAUAGGCUUUGGGCCGUGUACUAGGGUGAUUAGCCUUUGGGGCAGCUCUGCGUACGUAUGACCAGAUUAUCAGAUUAUCAGAUUUGAAUGGCUUUGCCUUGUACAUCGAGAUUACUCUGUACAUGAGUAAGGCUAUUCAUUGGGUACUCUUUAUGGUGUGAUUUUUCAGGUUGGUUUUGUCCAUGUUACAGGGGAAACUCUGUCAAAAUUUUUAUAGAUAUUAGCACAGUCAAAAUAGGUCAAGUUUGCCUUGGUGGUGGGUCCGGUAUUUUGCUGGUAUCUACUACCGGCGCACGACACGUGUCGAGUCAAUUAGGUUGAGUCGGGACGGGUCGUGUCAAUUUGGAAACUCUGUCAAAAUUUUUAUAGAUAUUAGCACAGUCAAAAUAGGUCAAGUUUGCCUUGGUGGUGGGUCCGGUAUUUUGCUGGUAUCUACUACCGGCGCACGACACGUGUCGAGUCAAUUAGGUUGAGUCGGGACGGGUCGUGUCAAUUGGUAUCAGAGCAUGGUCUUAGAGUUUAUGAGUAGCAUUGCAUGUAUCUGAUGUUGGUAUGUUACACCUUAUUGUAGGUAAGUCAUGCGAGGUAGAGGCAGAACCCGCAGGCACCAAAAUCCAGUAUCUCAAGCUCCAAAUACUCCUGAAGAAAGACAUGUUGGAGGGGUCAGUGGGGCUGCUGAAUCAGUGCACCAGUCUCAGGUGCAACCUGACCCCAUCACUGAUAGAAUAGCUGCGGCUAUUGCUUCCCUUCUACCAAAUACUGAUAGAGAUAAUUCUAUAGAGAGAGCGAUGAAACUUGGAGCAAAAUUUUUUAUGGGUACAUCUAAUCCAGCCGAUGCCGAACUUUGGAUGAAGACUGUGGAAAGCAUAUUUGAUGUGAUUGAAUGCUCCGAGGAUAAAAAAUUACGCAUUGCUGUAUUUUUAUUGAAAGGGGGAGCUGCUGAUUGGUGGAUUUCAUUUCGAAGUCGGUAUCCAGAUCCUAGUGUUAUCACCUGGACUAUUUUCAAGGAAGCUUUUUUUGAGACAUAUUAUCCACCAUUUUAUCGCGACGCAAAGCAAAACGAAUUUUUAAGAUUGGUUCAGGGGUCUAUGACAGUUGCUGAAUAUCAUGUAAAGUUUGUUGAAUUGUCUAAAUAUGCAAGUGCUUUGGUUGCUGAGGAAAGAGAUAGGUGUAGACGGUUUGAGCAAGGGUUGAGAGCUGAAAUUCGACCUAUGGUUACUGCGCAUGGGCAUCAAAAUUUUGGUUUGUUGGUUGAGGCGGCAUUAAGAGUUGAGACAGCUAUUCGUGAAGGAAGUAAUCAAGGAGCACAGGUGACCUUUCGAGGUGGUAGUAAUCAAUCAGGAGCUUCAGGAGAGAGGUUCAAGAAGAACAGAAAAGGAUUUUGGCCAGGUGCCACUAAAUCUGGCAAUUUUAAAUCUAAGUCUGGGAGUUCUAGCUCUAGUCAAGGAUCAAGACAUAGCCAGAGUUUUGGACAGCAGUCAGUGGGAAGCCAUUCUUUUGUACAGGGUCCUUCACAGAGAACUCAAGGAGCGAGACAGAUUGAGGUUUCUGAUCAUAGGAGCUUUCCACAGUGCCAGUCUUGUGGGAAGUUUCAUCCAGGCGAGUGUCUUAGAGGGGCUGGAGUUUGUUAUCAGUGUGGUCAGAUGGGACACAUAAGGAAGGAUUGUCCAGCCAGAUCUCAGCAGAUUGGAACAUCUCAGAUAGUAUCUCCUCAGCCAGGGAUCGGUAUGACCAGACAGAACAGGGAUCAAAGAACUCCAUCAGCAGGGUCGAUGGGGAACACACAAGCUAAUUCUGCUAGGGGUAGUGCUUCUAGACAGGGAGCCCAGGCAGGUCGAUCUAGGACUCAAGGCAAGGUGUUUGCUAUGACGCAGCAGGAGGCAGAGGAGUCACCAGAUGUGGUAGUGGGUAUGUUAUCUAUUUUUGGUAGAAAAGCUCGUUCUUUAAUUGAUUCGGGUGCUACGCAUUCCUUUAUUUCUCACACACUUGCUAGCUAUGCUGAUCAAAUGUCAGAGCCUUUAGAUAAUGAAUUGGUAGUAGUGACUCCAGUAGGGGACUCACUUUUAGCAAAUCGUGUAUAUAAAGAUUGUGGGAUUAGAGUGAACAAUCAUGAGUUGAAAGCAGAUUUAAUUCCUCUUGACAUUCAUGAUUUUGAUGUUAUUUUGGGGAUGGAUUUUCUAUCUAAUCACCGUGCUUCGGUUGAUUAUUUUCGCAAGGAAGUGGUAUUUAAAUGCCCAGGAGAGCUUGAAAUUGUUCUCACUGGAGAGCGCAGAAUUUUGCCAUCCUGUGUAAUAUCGGUCCUAGAUGCUCGCAGAAUGCUCAAAAAGGGUUGUGAUGCAUAUUUGGCCCAUGUAAUUGAUACUCAGAUUACAAAGCGGGAAAUUGAUGAUAUAUCAGUUGUGCGAGAUUUUUCUGAUGUCUUUCCAGAAGAUCUUCCGGGAUUGCCUCCAGACAGAGAGAUAGAAUUUUGUAUUGAUUUGAUUCCCGGGACAACACCUAUUUCACAGGCACCUUACAGAAUGGCUCCAGCAGAGCUAAAGGAAUUGAAAGUUCAGUUGCAGGAUUUAGUUGAUAAGGGUUUUAUUAGACCCAGUGUAUCUCCAUGGGGAGCUCCAGUCUUAUUUGUUAAGAAGAAAGAUGGCACAAUGAGAUUAUGUAUUGACUACAGACAGUUGAAUAAAGUGACAGUCCGCAACAAGUAUCCGUUGCCUCGCAUUGAUGAUUUGUUUGACCAACUUAGAGGUGCCUCAGUAUUUUCAAAGAUUGAUUUACGUUCAGGUUAUCAUCAGCUCAGAAUUAGAGAUGUUGAUAUACCAAAGACUGCUUUUCGGUCUCGGUAUGGUCAUUAUGAAUUUUUGGUGAUGCCGUUUGGAUUAACUAAUGCCCCAGCUGCAUUUAUGGAUUUGAUGAAUAGGGUGCUUCACCCAUAUUUAGAUAAGUUUGUGAUUGUUUUUAUUGAUGAUAUCUUAGUUUACUCUCGCAGUAGAGAUGAGCAUGCUGAGCAUUUGAGGAUUAUUUUGCAAACUUUGCGAGAUAAGGAGUUGUAUGCUAAGUUCAGCAAAUGUGAAUUUUAGUUGGAUAAAGUUGUGUUUUUGGGUCAUGUCAUCUCAGCAGAAGGCAUUUUUGUAGAUCCUCAGAAAAUUGAGGCAGUUAGGAGAUGGGAACGCCCUACUAAUGUUACAGAAGUACGGAGUUUCCUUGGGCUAGCAGGUUAUUAUCGUCGAUUUGUAGAGAAUUUUUCCAAAAUUGCCCUUCCUUUGACUAGUUUGACUCGGAAGAAUACGAAAUUUGUGUGGAAUGAGGAAUGUGAAAAGAGUUUUCUAGAGUUGAAGGAAAGGUUGACUUCUGCUCCUAUACUUACUCUUCCUUCUCCGGGUGAAGAGUUUGUAAUUUAUAGUGAUGCUUCACGCCAAGGAUUGGGUUGUGUUUUAAUGCAAAAUGGGAAAGUUGUAGCUUAUGCUUUAAGGCAAUUGAAGAAUCAUGAGUUAAACUACCCAACUCAUGAUUUGGAGUUAGUUGCAAUAGUGUUGGCAUUGAAGAUUUGGAGGCAUUAUCUUUAUGGUGAGAAAUGUCAAAUAUUUACUGAUCACAAAAGUUUGAAGUAUAUUUUUGAUCAGAAGGAACUGAAUUUGAGGCAGAGAAGAUGGUUGGAGUUGAUUAAGGAUUAUGAUUGUAAGAUUGAUUACCAUCCAGGGAAAGCUAAUGUGGUUGCAGAUGCUCUCAGUAGAAAGACUAGUUCUUCCUCUUCAGCUAGUGCAGUUUAUGCGUCUUUGAUUUGCGAAUUGAAGAAAUUGCAUGCUCAUUUGUCAGCUAUUACUUCAGGUGCUGUAUUAGCUCAUUUUCAGGUGAGGCCUACUUUGAUUGAUAAGGUUAGAGAAGCUCAAUCUCAAGACCAGACAUUGAGAAUAUUGAAAGCAGAAGUUAGUACUGGGUUAAGAAUGGAUUAUGUGAUUAGAGAUGAUGGGGCGUUGGCUAUGGGUACUAGAUUAUGUGUUCCAGAUAUUCCAGAAUUGAAGAAAGAGAUUUUGGAAGAGGCACACAGUUCUGCUUAUGCUAUGCAUCCAGGUAGUAUUAAAAUGUAUCAUACAUUGAAAGAUCAUUAUUGGUGGCUUGGUAUGAAGAGAGAGAUAGCAGAUUUUGUAUCCAAAUGCCUUAUAUGUCAGCAGGUAAAGCCAGUUCGUCAGAAAACAGCAGGGCUUUUACAACCAUUACCUAUUCCAGAGUGGAAAUGGGAACACAUUACUAUGGACUUUUUAUUUGGUCUUCCUCGUACUCAAAAUGGUCAUGAUGGAGUUUGGGUGAUUGUAGAUCGUUUGACCAAAACUGCCAAGUUCUUACCGAUCAAAGCCACUUAUACUUUAAAUAAGUUGGCAAAGUUGUAUGUGGAUGAGAUAGUGAGCUCAUAUGGUACUCCAUUAUCUAUUGUGUCUGAUAGAGACCCUCGUUUUACAUCUAAAUUUUGGCCCAGUUUACAAGAAGUCAUGGGUACUAAAUUACAUUUCAGUACAGCUUUUCAUCCUCAGACAGAUGGCCAAUCAGAGAGGACCAUAUAGACUCUUGAGGAUAUGUUGAGGGCAUGUGUUUUAGAGUUCAAAGGUAGUUGGGAUUCACAUUUGUCAUUGAUGGAUUUUGCUUACAAUAACAGCUACCACUCCAGUAUAGAAAUGGCUCCUUUUGAAGCUUUAUAUGGUCGAAAGUGCAGAACACCAGUUUGUUGGGAUGAAGCUGGUAAG
Molecule: long non-coding RNA, 5085 nt
Filed under: Olea europaea subsp. europaea
Lineage: Eukaryota; Viridiplantae; Streptophyta; Magnoliopsida; Lamiales; Oleaceae
Source: RNAcentral